GUGUCAGCAGCCGCGGUAAAACGUAGGAGGCGAGCGUUAUCCGGAGUUACUGGGCGUAAAGCGCGUGUAGGCGGUGAGGUAAGUGGCUGGUGAAAGCCUUCGGCUUAACCGAGGGAGUGCCGGUCAGACUGCUUGACUAGAGUACUGGAGAGGGACGCGGAAUUCCGGGUGUAGCGGUGAAAUGUGCAGAGAUCCGGAGGAACACCAGCGCCGAAAGGGGCGUCCUGGACAGAAACUGACGCUGAGACGCGACAGCGUGGGGAGCGAACGGGAUUAGAUACCCUCGUAGUCC
RNAcentral lists this ribosomal RNA (292 nucleotides) under uncultured bacterium. RNAcentral describes it as "partial 16S ribosomal RNA". It matches the Rfam family "Bacterial small subunit ribosomal RNA", at positions 505 to 796 of the family's 1533-position model. The record is from RNAcentral.